This 117-nucleotide ribosomal RNA is filed under the name Sorex araneus (European shrew). The record is from RNAcentral. Lineage: Eukaryota; Metazoa; Chordata; Mammalia; Eulipotyphla; Soricidae.
GAUGGCUGUCCUGCCACAGACACACCCGGCCUCUCCUGAUCUCGGCAGCUAAGAAGGUCGGGCUGGUUAGAGCUGGGAUGGAGAAGCUGUGAGGGAGGUCCCAGAGCCGUGCUAACU